Molecule: non-coding RNA, 72 nt
Organism: Ictidomys tridecemlineatus (thirteen-lined ground squirrel)
Lineage: Eukaryota; Metazoa; Chordata; Mammalia; Rodentia; Sciuridae
Source: Rfam
GGGGGUGUAACUCAGUGAUAAAGCAUGUGCUUAACAUGCACAAGCCCCUGGGUUUGAUCCCGAGCAUCCCCC